CAGUCGCCGCGGGAAUACAGAGGGUGCGAGCGUUAAUCGGAUUUACUGGGCGUAAAGCGUGCGUAGGCGGCUAAUUGAGUCGGAUGUGAAAUCCCCGAGCUUAACUUGGGAAUUGCAUUCGAUACUGGUUAGCUAGAGUGUGGGAGAUGAUGGUAGAAUUCCAGGUGUAGCGGUGAAAUGCGUAGAGAUCUGGAGGAAUACCGAUGGCGAAGGCAGCCAUCUGGCCUAACACUGACGCUGAGGUACGAAAGCAUGGGGAGCAAACAGGAUUAGAUACCCCCGUAGUCCCUGUCUCUUAUAA
RNAcentral lists this ribosomal RNA (301 nucleotides) under uncultured bacterium. Its description in RNAcentral is "partial 16S ribosomal RNA". It matches the Rfam family "Bacterial small subunit ribosomal RNA", at positions 509 to 809 of the family's 1533-position model. The record is from RNAcentral.